Molecule: transfer RNA, 72 nt
Filed under: Trimma caesiura (Caesiura dwarfgoby)
Lineage: Eukaryota; Metazoa; Chordata; Actinopteri; Gobiiformes; Gobiidae
Description: tRNA-Thr
Rfam family: tRNA
About the family: Transfer RNA (tRNA) molecules are approximately 80 nucleotides in length. Their secondary structure includes four short double-helical elements and three loops (D, anti-codon, and T loops). Further hydrogen bonds mediate the characteristic L-shaped molecular structure. tRNAs have two regions of fundamental functional importance: the anti-codon, which is responsible for specific mRNA codon recognition, and the 3' end, to which the tRNAs corresponding amino acid is attached (by aminoacyl-tRNA synthetases). tRNAs cope with the degeneracy of the genetic code in two manners: having more than one tRNA (with a specific anti-codon) for a particular amino acid; and 'wobble' base-pairing, i.e. permitting non-standard base-pairing at the 3rd anti-codon position.
Source: RNAcentral
GCACUAGUAGCUCAGCUUCAGAGCCUCGGCCUUGUAAGCCGGCCGCCAGUGGUUAGAAUCCACUCUAUUGCC